This 669-nucleotide ribosomal RNA is filed under the name Triticum aestivum (bread wheat). RNAcentral's name for it is "partial small subunit ribosomal RNA". Lineage: Eukaryota; Viridiplantae; Streptophyta; Magnoliopsida; Poales; Poaceae. The record is from RNAcentral.
AUGGGGCAGCAGUCGCUGAUCUACGCGUUCGUGGCCCGCGGCACGGUGGUGCUUGCCGAGUACACCGAGUUCACCGGAAACUUCACCACCAUCGCCUCCCAGUGCCUCGUCAAGCUCCCGGCCAGCAACAACAAGUUCACCUACAACUGCGACGGCCACACCUUCAACUACCUCGUCGAGGACGGCUUCACAUACUGCGUGGUUGCCGUUGAAUCAGUGGGGCAACAGAUGCCAAUUGCUUUCUUGGUUCGGGUUAAGGAUGAUUUCAGCAAGAGAUAUGCUGGCGGGAAAGCUGCUACUGCUGCACCAAGCAGCCUGAACAGAGAGUUUGGAUCAAAACUCAAGGAGCACAUGCAGUACUGUGUGGACCACCCUGAAGAGAUAAACAAGCUCGCUAAAGUGCAAGCACAAGUUUCAGAAGUCAAAAACGUGAUGAUGGAAAACAUUGAGAAGGUUCUUGAUCGUGGGGAGAAGAUUGAGCUGCUUGUUGACAAGACAGAGAAUCUCCGCUCACAGGCCCAAGAUUUCAGGCAGCAAGGAACACAGGUGAGGAGAAAGAUGUGGCUACAAAACAUGAAGAUCAAGCUGAUCGUCCUGGGCAUCAUCGUCGCGCUCAUCCUCAUCAUAAUCCUGUCGGUGUGCCACGGAUUCAACUGCGGCAAGAAGUGA